This 450-nucleotide ribosomal RNA is filed under the name uncultured Anaerolineaceae bacterium. RNAcentral describes it as "bacterial SSU rRNA". It matches the Rfam family "Bacterial small subunit ribosomal RNA", at positions 918 to 1382 of the family's 1533-position model. The record is from RNAcentral. Lineage: Bacteria; Bacillati; Chloroflexota; Anaerolineae; Anaerolineales; Anaerolineaceae.
UCCCCGCACAAGCAGCGGAGCGUGUGGUUUAAUUCGAUGCUACACGAAGAACCUUACCUGGGUUUGACAUAGAGGUAGUAGGGAAGCGAAAGCGGACGACCCUUCGGGAGCCUCUACAGGUGUUGCAUGGCUGUCGUCAGCUCGUGUCGUGAGAUGUUCGGUUAAGUCCGCUAACGAGCGCAACCCUCGCUGUGUGUUACAAGUGUCACACGGUACUGCCGAUAUUAAGUCGGAGGAAGGUGGGGAUGACGUCAAGUCAGCAUGACCUUUAUAUCCAGGGCUACACACACGCUACAAUGGCCAGUACAAUGGGUUGCCAAGCCGCGAGGCGGAGCCAAUCCUAAAAAGCUGGCCUCAGUUCAGAUUGCAGUCUGCAACUCGACUGCAUGAAGUUGGAGUUGCUAGUAACCGCAGGUCAGCUAUACUGCGGUGAAUACGUUCCCGGGGAUU